This 486-nucleotide ribosomal RNA is filed under the name uncultured bacterium. RNAcentral's name for it is "partial 16S ribosomal RNA". It matches the Rfam family "Bacterial small subunit ribosomal RNA", at positions 30 to 507 of the family's 1533-position model. The record is from RNAcentral.
AUUGAACGCUGGCGGCAUGCCUUACACAUGCAAGUCGAACGGCAGCACGGGUGCUUGCACCUGGUGGCGAGUGGCGAACGGGUGAGUAAUACAUCGGAACAUGUCCUGUAGUGGGGGAUAGCCCGGCGAAAGCCGGAUUAAUACCGCAUACGAUCUACGGAUGAAAGCGGGGGACCUUCGGGCCUCGCGCUAUAGGGUUGGCCGAUGGCUGAUUAGCUAGUUGGUGGGGUAAAGGCCUACCAAGGCGACGAUCAGUAGCUGGUCUGAGAGGACGACCAGCCACACUGGAACUGAGACACGGCCCAGACUCCUACGGGAGGCAGCAGUGGGGAAUUUUGGACAAUGGGCGAAAGCCUGAUCCAGCAAUGCCGCGUGUGUGAAGAAGGCCUUCGGGUUGUAAAGCACUUUUGUCCGGAAAGAAAACCUUGGCUCUAAUACAGUCGGGGGAUGACGGUACCGGAAGAAUAAGCACCGGCUAACUACGUG